UACGUAGGGGGCAAGCGUUGUCCGGAUUUAUUGGGCGUAAAGAGCUCGUAGGCGGUUUGUCGCGUCUGCCGUGAAAGUCCGGGGCUCAACUCCGGAUCUGCGGUGGGUACGGGCAGACUAGAGUGAUGUAGGGGAGACUGGAAUUCCUGGUGUAGCGGUGAAAUGCGCAGAUAUCAGGAGGAACACCGAUGGCGAAGGCAGGUCUCUGGGCAAUAACUGACGCUGAGGAGCGAAAGCGUGGGGAGCGAACAGG
Molecule: ribosomal RNA, 253 nt
Filed under: uncultured bacterium
Lineage: Bacteria
Description: partial 16S ribosomal RNA
Rfam family: Bacterial small subunit ribosomal RNA
Source: RNAcentral